CCUGGCAUAUCAGAGGUCGACCAAGCAAAUACGUCUGUAUUGGUCUGGAGAAAAGAAGUGAGGUGCCAAUGAUCCUCUUCAUAUAGGUUCGAGCCAAUCUUGAUAACUUUGUUUGGAUCCUCAUCGAUUGGCAUUGGGAUGAGAUCUUCCAUCGGAUGACCUCUCUAUUCAAUCAACUCAUCCCACACGUCAAGCUUGUCAUCGACU
Molecule: long non-coding RNA, 207 nt
Filed under: Elaeis guineensis (African oil palm)
Lineage: Eukaryota; Viridiplantae; Streptophyta; Magnoliopsida; Arecales; Arecaceae
Description: long non-coding RNA (EGUI_LNC022965)
Source: RNAcentral